Dryobates pubescens (Downy woodpecker) is the source of this 1788-nucleotide long non-coding RNA. RefSeq lists it as uncharacterized. Lineage: Eukaryota; Metazoa; Chordata; Aves; Piciformes; Picidae. The transcript has 5 exons. The record is from RefSeq and is a predicted model, not a curated record.
UGCCUUCUUCCACAGGCUUUUCACAGGCCAGUGGACAGCCCGAGGAUCAUGAGCCAUAUGUCAAAGUGGAUGGGAUGACUGGGUCAAUACCUGCAAACUCUCAGCAAGAGGUAGCUAGCAUCCACGCUUCUUGCAUCACUCCAAAUGUGUCUGCUGCUUCUGCUGUUAAGUUAACAAGCCCAGAGAGGAUCACAGCCUUGCAUCGAGAGCUAAGUCAAAACCCUCACAAAAUUUGCCAGGUACCUUCAGCUGUCUCUAUCUCAAAUCCAAAGGCCGGCUGCACCUUGCCCACGAUGCAGGAGGAAGCUCCUUGGCCUCUGCUGUCAAGGAGGAAGGAUGCCCUGGUGCCUCCAGAGCGUGGUGCUUUCUGGGCCACGAAGGGGAGGGAUCGGUUGUCGACAUGUGAUGAUGUAUUUUGGGGUCAAGUGGGAAAUCAGCAUGCAGGUGCUAUUCCCCAGGGAUUGAAACAGAAAAAUUCCAUUAUGAAUAAGGCAUGGCUCUCUAGAGAAAAAACAGAUGGCUCUACCUCAGCUACCGCAGCAAAAAGCUAUUUGUCAGACGUGUUGUCGGCGAGUAAUAAAGGUCAAAAUCCUGUGGGGAGAAAUCAGCUGCACGGGAAAGAAUAAAACCCACAAAAAUAAAACAAGGGAUGAGGUUGCCAGUUGGUUUGGUCUGCAUUAAACAGUGGGAAGAGGCAGCCCGGUGGUUGGUUCAGAGCAAUGAUGACAAUGAAUUAAGACGUUGCAACAUGGCUUUCAUUGCAGAAUACAAGUUGAAGAUGGGAACACAGAAAAGAGACUUUGAGUAGAAGGGGAGCGACAAGAACAUGUUUCAGACCAUCCCAGAAUCCAAGACCAGCUCUGCUGUUACAAAGCCAUAUUUCUCUUUGUAAUAUUCAUUAUAAAAGGGAAAGAGCCUGAUUCCUGAAAAAAAUCCUUGGAAGCUGUGGAUAGCAAAGGCUGGGAGAAUUUAUCAGUCACACAGAAGAAGCUGUACUGCUCCGAGGAAAGAUGAAAGUUGCUUUGACCUGGUGACUGCAGCUGCUUCAUCAUGGGAAAAACCACAAUUUGCCCUGAGUUACCACCUGCCACAUUUUAGCCAUCUCCUGUAGUGGAAGCUGGCCAUGAGGGCUAACCCAGUGUGUGUGGUUUGAGUUUUCAUUCUGCUUUGGUUUUUGGGGAUCUCACCGUUUGCAUUUUAAAGAAUUUCUUAAGUUAAGCACAGAUCUCAGUCUCCAUGGGUGUGCUUUUGUGGACAUGUUAUAUCUUCAGCCUCAUAUGGCUUUGGGCAGUCCUGAAAGAGUCUUUGAUCUGAGUUAGAGUGUUUUGUUUUUUCUGAGGAUGUGGUACUUCAGGGUACAAACUGUUUAGGAAAUGAGACAGAACUGCACUUUUGCAAGGGUAAACAGGAGCUGGGAAUGUACUUCUUGUGCACUGAGAGGCACUUGGAACAUCAAGUGCUGUGUCCUAGUAGUCCAGAUUGAUUAUUUCAAACACAUGAACAGGCCAUACUGAAUUUAACUUUCAGAUAAGGCACUUGCAUACAUGAUCUCCUCUUUCUGAAAUAGGUGGGUUUGUGCACACUGGUUGGUAACAGGAUAUGUGAUGAAAUCACAUUUUGCAACCAUGCUCCACAAUAGAGAUUUAUGUACCCAAAAGCCCCACUAUUCAUGUGCGAGUGCCCACUUGUGAAAGCAGGGAGAUGUGAAUGCAGGCACAAGGCUCGUGCAUCACAUGGGUGCCUCCUCUCCUCCUUCAGCUUAAGGCACACAGCACUGUUGAAGUCACU